CGACUUAUAUUCUGUAGCAAGGUUAACCGAAUAGGGGAGCCGAAGGGAAACCGAGUCUUAACUGGGCGUUAAGUUGCAGGGUAUAGACCCGAAACCCGGUGAUCUAGCCAUGGGCAGGUUGAAGGUUGGGUAACACUAACUGGAGGACCGAACCGACUAAUGUUGAAAAAUUAGCGGAUGACUUGUGGCUGGGGGUGAAAGGCCAAUCAAACCGGGAGAUAGCUGGUUCUCCCCGAAAGCUAUUUAGGUAGCGCCUCGUGAAUUCAUCUCCGGGGGUAGAGCACUGUUUCGGCAAGGGGGUCAUCCCGACUUACCAACCCGAUGCAAACUGCGAAUACCGGAGAAUGUUAUCACGGGAGACACACGGCGGGUGCUAACGUCCGUCGUGAAGAGGGAAACAACCCAGACCGCCAGCUAAGGUCCCAAAGUCAUGGUUAAGUGGGAAACGAUGUGGGAAGGCCCAGACAGCCAGGAUGUUGGCUUAGAAGCAGCCAUCAUUUAAAGAAAGCGUAAUAGCUCACUGGUCGAGUCGGCCUGCGCGGAAGAUGUAACGGGGCUAAACCAUGCACCGAAGCUGCGGCAGCGACGCUGAUGCGUUGUUGGGUAGGGGAGCGUUCUGUAAGCCUGUGAAGGUGUGCUGUGAGGCAUGCUGGAGGUAUCAGAAGUGCGAAUGCUGACAUAAGUAACGAUAAAGCGGGUGAAAAGCCCGCUCGCCGGAAGACCAAGGGUUCCUGUCCAACGUUAAUCGGGGCAGGGUGAGUCGACCCCUAAGGCGAGGCCGAAAGGCGUAGUCGAUGGGAAACAGGUUAAUAUUCCUGUACUUGGUGUUACUGCGAAGGGGGGACGGAGAAGGCUAUGUUGGCCGGGCGACGGUUGUCCCGGUUUAAGCGUGUAGGCUGGUUUUCCAGGCAAAUCCGGAAAAUCAAGGCUGAGGCGUGAUGACGAGGCACUACGGUGCUGAAGCAACAAAUGCCCUGCUUCCAGGAAAAGCCUCUAAGCAUCAGGUAACAUCAAAUCGUACCCCAAACCGACACAGGUGGUCAGGUAGAGAAUACCAAGGCGCUUGAGAGAACUCGGGUGAAGGAACUAGGCAAAAUGGUGCCGUAACUUCGGGAGAAGGCACGCUGAUAUGUAGGUGAAGCGACUUGCUCGUGGAGCUGAAAUCAGUCGAAGAUACCAGCUGGCUGCAACUGUUUAUUAAAAACACAGCACUGUGCAAACACGAAAGUGGACGUAUACGGUGUGACGCCUGCCCGGUGCCGGAAGGUUAAUUGAUGGGGUCAGCGCAAGCGAAGCUCUUGAUCGAAGCCCCGGUAAACGGCGGCCGUAACUAUAACGGUCCUAAGGUAGCGAAAUUCCUUGUCGGGUAAGUUCCGACCUGCACGAAUGGCGUAAUGAUGGCCAGGCUGUCUCCACCCGAGACUCAGUGAAAUUGAACUCGCUGUGAAGAUGCAGUGUACCCGCGGCAAGACGGAAAGACCCCGUGAACCUUUACUAUAGCUUGACACUGAACAUUGAGCCUUGAUGUGUAGGAUAGGUGGGAGGCUUUGAAGUGUGGACGCCAGUCUGCAUGGAGCCGGCCUUGAAAUACCACCCUUUAAUGUUUGAUGUUCUAACGUUGACCCGUGAUCCGGGUUGCGGACAGUGUCUGGUGGGUAGUUUGACUGGGGCGGUCUCCUCCUAAAGAGUAACGGAGGAGCACGAAGGUUGGCUAAUCCUGGUCGGACAUCAGGAGGUUAGUGCAAUGGCAUAAGCCAGCUUGACUGCGAGCGUGACGGCGCGAGCAGGUGCGAAAGCAGGUCAUAGUGAUCCGGUGGUUCUGAAUGGAAGGGCCAUCGCUCAACGGAUAAAAGGUACUCCGGGGAUAACAGGCUGAUACCGCCCAAGAGUUCAUAUCGACGGCGGUGUUUGGCACCUCGAUGUCGGCUCAUCACAUCCUGGGGCUGAAGUAGGUCCCAAGGGUAUGGCUGUUCGCCAUUUAAAGUGGUACGCGAGCUGGGUUUAGAACGUCGUGAGACAGUUCGGUCCCUAUCUGCCGUGGGCGCUGGAGAACUGAGGGGGGCUGCUCCUAGUACGAGAGGACCGGAGUGGACGCAUCACUGGUGUUCGGGUUGUCAUGCCAAUGGCACUGCCCGGUAGCUAAAUGCGGAAGAGAUAAGUGCUGAAAGCAUCUAAGCACGAAACUUGCCCCGAGAUGAGUUCUCCCUGACUCCUUGAGAGUCCUGAAGGAACGUUGAAGACGACGACGUUGAUAGGCCGGGUGUGUAAGCGCAGCGAUGCGUUGAGCUAACCGGUACUAAUGAACCGUGAGG
RNAcentral lists this ribosomal RNA (2312 nucleotides) under Escherichia coli. RNAcentral's name for it is "partial 23S ribosomal RNA". It matches the Rfam family "Bacterial large subunit ribosomal RNA", at positions 624 to 2915 of the family's 2925-position model. Lineage: Bacteria; Pseudomonadati; Pseudomonadota; Gammaproteobacteria; Enterobacterales; Enterobacteriaceae. The record is from RNAcentral.